RNAcentral lists this microRNA (22 nucleotides) under Oreochromis niloticus (Nile tilapia). RNAcentral's name for it is "oni-miR-10605". The record is from miRBase by way of RNAcentral. Lineage: Eukaryota; Metazoa; Chordata; Actinopteri; Cichliformes; Cichlidae.
CAAGUGUAACAGGACAACCUGU